Molecule: non-coding RNA, 205 nt
Filed under: Streptomyces sp. NRRL F-4489
Lineage: Bacteria; Bacillati; Actinomycetota; Actinomycetes; Kitasatosporales; Streptomycetaceae
Description: Streptomyces sRNA scr5239
Rfam family: Streptomyces sRNA scr5239
About the family: It inhibits agarase DagA expression by direct base pairing to the dagA coding region, and it represses translation of methionine synthase metE (SCO0985) at the 5' end of its open reading frame.
Source: Rfam by way of RNAcentral
CUUCCGCUCUCCCCGCACAGGAGGGCGGAUCGAGGCCCGCGGCGCUCUCUGCCCUGACUGCGCCCGGGCCUUACAGAUCGACCGGUCCCGGGACGGGGCCGUGCCCCCGACCGCACAGGGGGCACCUCCCGCCCAUUGGUACGGGACCGGCCGAUGUCAGCUCCGGGCUGCGGUGCCGGACAGGUUGAGGGUCCUGUCCCGGCGC